RNAcentral lists this transfer RNA (73 nucleotides) under Varanus panoptes horni. Its description in RNAcentral is "tRNA-Leu". It matches the Rfam family "tRNA". Rfam says of the family: Transfer RNA (tRNA) molecules are approximately 80 nucleotides in length. Their secondary structure includes four short double-helical elements and three loops (D, anti-codon, and T loops). Lineage: Eukaryota; Metazoa; Chordata; Lepidosauria; Squamata; Varanidae. The record is from RNAcentral.
AUUAGGGUAGCGAGCCCGGAACACGCAAGAGACUUAAAAUCCCACCACGAAGGUUCAAAUCCUUCCCCUAACC